RNAcentral lists this ribosomal RNA (455 nucleotides) under uncultured bacterium. RNAcentral's name for it is "bacterial SSU rRNA". It matches the Rfam family "Bacterial small subunit ribosomal RNA", at positions 29 to 506 of the family's 1533-position model. The record is from RNAcentral.
ACGAAUGCUGGCGGCGUGCUUAACACAUGCAAGUCGAACGGGAGUAUAGAGGGAGCUUGCUUUUGAUAUACUCUAGUGGCGGACGGGUGAGUAACGCGUGAGGAGCUGUCCAGUACAGGGGGACAACAGAUGGAAACGUCUGCUAAUACCCCAUAAGCCUAAGGGUAAAAGGAGCGAUCCGGUACACGAGGCACUCGCGUCCUAUCAGCUAGUAGGUGAGGUAACGGCUCACCUAGGCGAAGACGGGUAGCCGGCCUGAGAGGGCGAACGGCCACACUGGAACUGAGAGACGGUCCAGACUCCUACGGGAGGCAGCAGUGGGGAAUAUUGGGCAAUGGGGGAAACCCUGACCCAGCGACGUCGCGUGGGUGAUGAAAUCCUUCGGGAUGUAAAGCCCUGUUGUAUGGGAAGAUGAAAGAGACGGUACCAUACGAGGAAGCCCCGGCAAACUACGU